Myotis lucifugus (little brown bat) is the source of this 67-nucleotide non-coding RNA. Lineage: Eukaryota; Metazoa; Chordata; Mammalia; Chiroptera; Vespertilionidae. The record is from Rfam.
AGCAUAGCUUAGUGAAAAGCAUGUUGAACUUGGAAUUCAAAGAUAUGGAUUCAAGUUCCACCUGCUA